GGGGGCGUAGCUCAGCUGGGAGAGCGCUUGAAUGGCAUUCAAGAGGUCAUGGGUUCGAUUCCCACCGUCUCCA
Molecule: transfer RNA, 73 nt
Filed under: Lachnospiraceae bacterium
Lineage: Bacteria; Bacillati; Bacillota; Clostridia; Lachnospirales; Lachnospiraceae
Description: tRNA-Ala
Rfam family: tRNA
About the family: Transfer RNA (tRNA) molecules are approximately 80 nucleotides in length.
Source: RNAcentral